AUUAAGUUAGUUUACAAAAAACCUCAGGAUGUGGGCCUGACAACGGAAAAUACUU
This 55-nucleotide transfer RNA is filed under the name Angaria neglecta. RNAcentral's name for it is "tRNA-His". The record is from RNAcentral. Lineage: Eukaryota; Metazoa; Mollusca; Gastropoda; Trochida; Turbinidae.